Molecule: long non-coding RNA, 1280 nt
Organism: Acomys russatus (golden spiny mouse)
Lineage: Eukaryota; Metazoa; Chordata; Mammalia; Rodentia; Muridae
Exons: 3
Source: RefSeq, a predicted model, not a curated record
GGAGGUUGUCUAACCCUACCCCCUACCCCCACUCAGCGCCAGGGCCAUCUGGCAGCUUGGAGCCCUGCAGUGCCACUGCCUAGCAGGUGUUCAGUACACUGAAGGAGGGGCUAACUCGGCGAAGCUGAAGGCAGCAGCAAGUGAGUCCACCUGGUAAAUGCCUCUUCCGCAGGAGAAACAUUGUGGCCUCUCCUCUACUCCAUUUUAGCAAAACCAACCAGAAGACGUCAAUCUAACCUUGCUGACAAAUAUAGUUCCCUAUGACAGACAGCAGUGCUGGAGAGAGUAGGCCCACAGAUCAGGAAACACGGAAACACAAAAGUUGCCCACGGUCUGAUUUUCUAACUGUGCUUCUUGGAAUCUCCCGACUGUGGGAAUGAGCCCAGGAGGUGACGUCGAUUGUUUGGACUUCAAAUAACAGGCUGCAUUAUUCCUUGGCACUGUAACUGGGUCCAAUUUUUGUGUGGUUUGAAGAUGUAAAUUUGUUAUGGAAACAGGCUUGCAGUUGACCAAUGAUUAGCUAAUUUCUGAUACUAGAAAAGGAAGCCUAUUGCCCCAAGGCCACUGUUUUCAUUUCCUCCUGCGAAGGAGCAGCCCAGCAGAGGAGAAAGGCAGCCCCAGCACACUUAAGCCUCGCUGCCAUGGGGAACUGGGCUGUGAAUGAGGGGCUCUCCAUCUUUGUCAUUGUAAGUACCAAAACCAGAUUCAUUACAAGGCUUUUUGGACAUGUUGGGUUCAGUUAGAAGCUCAAAUAGAGCGAUUGUUUUUAUUAUUGUGAUUUGCUUAAGAAAAUUAUUUGCUCUGUGAACAAACAUGUAUCUGUAAGUAGAUUGAGUUAAUUCUCCCAUCCAAAGUUUCUUAAUUAAAAAUAUGCAUCAAUAGCUCUCAUUUGUCCAUGUUUAUUUCUGAUUUCCUAAGACUAUGAGGUUAGCUAGCAUUUAGCAGACAGCAUAAAAGAUACCUCAUACUAAAGAUCUCUAAUUCUGAGAAUGUUUUUUCUUGAUUACUCAGAGGUAAAUUUCUCCAGUUUUUAUGUUAACUACUUAAAAUGGUCAAUUAAAAUUGUACUCUUUUCUGAAUAGCAUUUAUUCUUAUGGAUUACUUGGAUAGGAAACGUGUCUUUAUUUCAGGCAUAACACUGAAAAAUUAGAGUUCUCAAAUUUCUUUUUAAAACAAGUACAUUUUCCCCCUUAUGAGGUAUAAAAUGUAGUUGUUUGUGAAUUUUUACAACAAAUCAAGAUGAAAGAAUUGAAAUAAGUUUUCUAGACUCAUACAUAUGU